AUGAACGCUGGCGGCGUGCCUAAUACAUGCAAGUCGAGCGAACAGACGAGGAGCUUGCUCCUCUGACGUUAGCGGCGGACGGGUGAGUAACACGUGGAUAACCUACCUAUAAGACUGGGAUAACUUCGGGAAACCGGAGCUAAUACCGGAUAAUAUAUUGAACCGCAUGGUUCAAUAGUGAAAGACGGUUUUGCUGUCACUUAUAGAUGGAUCCGCGCCGCAUUAGCUAGUUGGUAAGGUAACGGCUUACCAAGGCAACGAUGCGUAGCCGACCUGAGAGGGUGAACGGCCACACUGGAACUGAGACAAGGUCCAGACUCCUACGGGAGGCAGCAGUAGGGAAUCUUCCGCAAAGGGCGAAAGCCUGAAGGAGCAACGCCGCGUGAGUGAUGAAGGUCUUCGGAUCGUAAAGCUCUGUUAUUAGGGAAGAACAAAUGUGUAAGUAACUAUGCAAGUCUUGACGGUACCUAAUCAGAAAGCCACGGCUAACUACGUG
RNAcentral lists this ribosomal RNA (496 nucleotides) under uncultured bacterium. RNAcentral describes it as "partial 16S ribosomal RNA". It matches the Rfam family "Bacterial small subunit ribosomal RNA", at positions 29 to 507 of the family's 1533-position model. The record is from RNAcentral.